ACGACUCUCAUCAAUGGAUAUCUUGGCUCUUGCAAUGAUGAAGAAUGCAGUGAAAUGUAAUACAUAGUGUGAAUUGCAAAAUUCUGUGAAUCAUCGAGUCUUUGAAUGCAGGUUGCGACCGUGGCUCAUGCAAGGGCAUGCCUUCCUGAGCGUCCCC
This 157-nucleotide ribosomal RNA is filed under the name Psilotum nudum. RNAcentral's name for it is "5.8S ribosomal RNA". It matches the Rfam family "5.8S ribosomal RNA". Rfam says of the family: 5.8S ribosomal RNA (5.8S rRNA) is a component of the large subunit of the eukaryotic ribosome. It is transcribed by RNA polymerase I as part of the 45S precursor that also contains 18S and 28S rRNA. Functionally, it is thought that 5.8S rRNA may be involved in ribosome translocation. The record is from RNAcentral. Lineage: Eukaryota; Viridiplantae; Streptophyta; Polypodiopsida; Psilotales; Psilotaceae.